Molecule: ribosomal RNA, 433 nt
Filed under: uncultured bacterium
Lineage: Bacteria
Description: partial 16S ribosomal RNA
Rfam family: Bacterial small subunit ribosomal RNA
Source: RNAcentral
AACGAACGCUGGCGGCAUGCCUAACACAUGCAAGUCGAACGAGACCUUCGGGUCUAGUGGCGCACGGGUGCGUAACGCGUGGGAACCUGCCCUUAGGUUCGGAAUAACUCCCCGAAAGGGGUGCUAAUACCGGAUAAUGUCUUCGGACCAAAGAUUUAUCGCGUUUGGAUGGGCCAGCGUUGGAUUAGCUAGUUGGUAGGGUAAAAGCCUACCAAGGCGAGGAUCCAUAGCUGGUCUGAGAGGAUGAUCAGCCACACUGGGACUGAGACACGGCCCAGACUCCUACGGGAGGCAGCAGUGGGGAAUAUUGGACAAUGGGCGAAAGCCUGAUCCAGCAAUGCCGCGUGAGUGAUGAAGGCCUUAGGGUUGUAAAGCUCUUUUACCCGGGAUGAUAAUGACAGUACCGGGAGAAUAAGCUCCGGCUAACUCCGUG